Molecule: ribosomal RNA, 462 nt
Filed under: uncultured bacterium
Lineage: Bacteria
Description: partial 16S ribosomal RNA
Rfam family: Bacterial small subunit ribosomal RNA
Source: RNAcentral
GAUCAACGCUGGCGGCGUGCUUAACACAUGCAAGUCGAACGAAGUUUUUCUUUCGGGAGGAACUUAGUGGCGGACGGGUGAGUAACGCGUGGGUAACCUGCCCUGUACAGGGGGACAACAGCUGGAAACGGCUGCUAAUACCUCAUAAGCCCUUAGCACUGCAUGGUGCAUAGGGAAAAGGAGCAAUCCGGUACAGGAUGGACCCGCGUCUGAUUAGGCAGUUGGCAGGGUAACUGCCUACCCAAGCGACGAUCAGUAGCCGAUCUGAGAGGAUGUACGGCCACAUUGGGACUGAGACACGGCCCAGACUCCUACGGGAGGCAGCAGUGGGGAAUAUUGCACAAUGGAGGAAACUCUGAUGCAGCGACGCCGCGUGAGUGAAGAAGUAUUUCGGUAUGUAAAGCUCUAUCAGCAGGAAAGAAAAUGACGGUACCUGACUAAGAAGCACCGGCUAAAUACGUG